UACGUAGGUGGCAAGCGUUGUCCGGAAUUAUUGGGCGUAACGCGCGCGCAGGCGGUCCUUUAAGUCUGCUGUGAAAGCCCACGGCUCAACCGUGGAGGGUCAUUGGAAACUGGGGGACUUGAGUGCAGGAGAGAAGAGUGGAAUUCCACGUGUAGCGGUGAAAUGCGUAGAGAUGUGGAGGAACACCAGUGGCGAAGGCGACUCUGUGGCCUGUAACUGACGCUGAGGCGCGAAAGCGUGGGGAGCGAACAGG
Molecule: ribosomal RNA, 253 nt
Filed under: uncultured bacterium
Lineage: Bacteria
Description: partial 16S ribosomal RNA
Rfam family: Bacterial small subunit ribosomal RNA
Source: RNAcentral